RNAcentral lists this ribosomal RNA (253 nucleotides) under uncultured bacterium. Its description in RNAcentral is "partial 16S ribosomal RNA". It matches the Rfam family "Bacterial small subunit ribosomal RNA", at positions 524 to 776 of the family's 1533-position model. The record is from RNAcentral.
CACGUAGGGGGCAAGCGUUGUCCGGAAUCAUUGGGCGUAAAGAGCGUGUAGGCGGCCAGAUAAGUCCGCUGUGAAAACUCGAGGCUCAACUUCGAGCUGUCGGUGGAAACUAUUUGGCUAGAGUCCGGAAGAGGAGAGUGGAAUUCCUGGUGUAGCGGUGAAAUGCGCAGAUAUCAGGAAGAACACCCGUGGCGAAGGCGGCUCUCUGGUACGGAACUGACGCUGAGACGCGAAAGCGUGGGGAGCGAACAGG